Molecule: ribosomal RNA, 227 nt
Filed under: uncultured Actinomycetales bacterium
Lineage: Bacteria; Bacillati; Actinomycetota; Actinomycetes; Actinomycetales
Description: partial 16S ribosomal RNA
Rfam family: Bacterial small subunit ribosomal RNA
Source: RNAcentral
GUGAGUAACACGUGAGUAACCUGCCAUUGACUUUGGGAUAACUUCAGGAAACUGGGGCUAAUACCGGAUAGGAGCUCCUGCUGCAUGGUGGGGGUUGGAAAGUUUCGGCGGUUGGGGAUGGACUCGCGGCUUAUCAGCUUGUUGGUGGGGUAGUGGCUUACCAAGGCUUUGACGGGUAGCCGGCCUGAGAGGGUGACCGGCCACAUUGGGACUGAGAUACGGCCCAG